RNAcentral lists this ribosomal RNA (771 nucleotides) under Clostridiales bacterium W060. Its description in RNAcentral is "bacterial SSU rRNA". It matches the Rfam family "Bacterial small subunit ribosomal RNA", at positions 166 to 952 of the family's 1533-position model. Lineage: Bacteria; Bacillati; Bacillota; Clostridia; Eubacteriales. The record is from RNAcentral.
AAACCGCAUAAUAUAUGACUACUGCAUGGUAGACAUAUCAAAAGAGAAAUCUGCUAAUAGAUGGACUUACGGCUGAUUAGCUAGUUGGUAAGGUAGAGGCUUACCAAGGCAACGAUCAGUAGCCGGACUGAGAGGUUGAACGGCCACAUUGGGACUGAGAUACGGCCCAGACUCCUACGGGAGGCAGCAGUCGGGAAUAUUGCGCAAUGGAGGGAACUCUGACGCAGUGACGCCGCGUAUAGGAAGAAGGUUUUAGGAUUGUAAACUAUUGUCAACAGGGAAGAAAAAAGACGGUACCUGUGGAGGAAGCCCUGGCAAACUAUGUGCCAGCAGCCGCGGUAAUACAUAGAGGGCAAGCGUUAUCCGGAAUUAUUGGGUGUAAAGGGUGCGUAGAUGGGGAAACAAGUUAGUUGUGAAAGAUUGAGGCUUAACUUCAAAAUAGCAACUAAAACUGUAGCUCUUGAGUGCAGGAGAGGUAAGUGGAAUUCCUAGUGUAGCGGUGAAAUGCGUAGAUAUUAGGAGGAACACCAGUGGCGAAGGCGACUUACUGGACUGUAACUGACAUUGAGGCACGAAAGUGUGGGGAGCAAACAGGAUUAGAUACCCUGGUAGUCCACACUGUAAACGAUGGAUACUAGGUGUAGGGAGCAAAAAGCGAACUGUGCCGUCGCAAACGCAAUAAGUAUCCCACCUGAGGAGUACGACCGCAAGGUUGAAACUUAAAGGAAUUGACGGGGGCCCGCACAAGCAGUGGAGUAUGUGGUUUAAUUC